This 2351-nucleotide long non-coding RNA is filed under the name Theobroma cacao (cacao). RNAcentral's name for it is "long non-coding RNA (TCAC_LNC004238)". The record is from RNAcentral. Lineage: Eukaryota; Viridiplantae; Streptophyta; Magnoliopsida; Malvales; Malvaceae.
CCCAAUUCCUCUUUCUAAUUUUUGCCGUCCUGUUUGGUUGUUCCUAUUUCUCAUGACUCCCAAUCUCCCAUCUCCAGCUCUCCACUCUCCAUUCUCCACUUUCAUCUCUCGCCCUUUUUGCUGUCCGUUGGCUGCCGUCCGUCGACGUCCGGUCUUCACUCUAGCCUGAUCUGGUUUCUGCGGACUGCUUUUUCUGGUUUCUGCCUUCAUCUUGAACAAGUCCAAGUUUGUCUCUGGUUAACUGGUUUCUGGUUGGGUUUCUUGUUGCUGUCGACUGCCCUACCCUCAUCAAAGUGACUGGUAAGUUUUAUUCAUUCUGCUGCCACCAUCAAUAAAGUUUGUUUAUGUAUCAUUCAUCUUGAGAAUCACCAACGUCUCUACCUCUCUAAACAGGCAAGCGUGUUUCUUUUAUAGAGAAUUUCUUUAUCUACCGAAACAUGGAUUGGACUUAAUAGAAGAACCCCCUCUUGUUUCAUUUCUGGAAAAUGAAAUUAGUCAAAUUUAUAUAAAAAAUUUUAUUUUGAUCACCUUUGUUCUAAAUUAAAAUUACAUUCUAGUGGACAAUAUAUGCUCAUCCCAAAGCUGUAAACAUCGCUUUUCUUGUUUAGGUUCCCUGAACAUUGAAAUCUAUAUGGAAAACAUAAAUGGUUUCUGUCAGUAGGAGUUUUGUAAAAAUUAGAUGAAUGAAACAAGCAUAAAAGUCUUUUAAUGUUACUUUUAUCAAUUCUUUCAAUAUCGUUUUUGCUUAUCCAAUGAUGCUGAAAAGUUAAAUUAUUAGGGAUUAUUUGGAUGAGCCUAGUCCCAGAGCCUUUAGAGAUGAAAGAUCAGAUGACGCAUCCAAAGCCUAACACUCGGGAUUUGAAAGUUAACAUGAUACAAUCUAUGAGGCUAAGAUAACAUUUAGCCAACAGGAAAUGUUACUAGGUUUAGACAGCAAUUAUGUGAGAAUUCUCAUCAUGAUUUAGGUAGCAGAUCAGUUAUAAUUAAAGAUUUAAAAAAUUAAACAAAUUCAGAUAAAUUUCAUCAAGUUUUAGACUAGUACUCAAGAUCGGUUUCGUAUACUUGUGUUAAUUGGACAAGGUUGUGACAUUCAUUUAUUUAAAAUUUUUGUGACAUUCAGAAGAAAAGAUGGGGGUGCUGCUGGAGCAUAUAUUGGUUCUUACUUCUGAAAUGAGUGCUUCUGGUGGUUGGUGCUAAUGUUAGUAAUGUCUAUUUUUGCUAGUAUGUAUUUUUGUUAGUAAUGUCUUGUGUCAUCUCAAUGGUUGAAGUUGGUAGACAAUUUCUUUUUGGAAUGUUAUUAUUAAUUUAAUCUAGGCUACUUCAUUUUAUACAUAGUUUGCUGACCCUUUUACAUUACUUACUCUGUUGCAAGCAUAUGUGGAACAGUUUCAGAAUAAUUAAAAGAAACAUGGGAACCUUUUCAUUUCUGUAUCCAAUUUCCUGUAGCUUCUAGGAAUGCUUACCUUUUCAUUUCUGUUGUGUUUUAUUCCUUGGAAGUUUAUAUAUAGAUAUUUUGUUAUUUCUGUAUUAGAAGUUAAUAUACGAUGCUAACACUUGCUUGUCAUAUGUGGGUGUUUUGUGCCAGACUGCCAGUUGUGAAUAGUGAUGUUUCUAAAUCUAGUGUCUGACAGUGGUUGUUGCUCUUUAGGCAUCCUAUUUUUAUCUAUGGUUUUAUAUGCCUGAGUUAGAUGUUUAGACAUUUUUGAAACUUAGCAUGUUAUUUUCUUGGCAUUUAGCAUUGAUAUGUUUGUCAGUGCAGAGCAUAGAAAUUUUGCAUUUAGAAUAUGUGCAUUGAAGAAUAUGAAGAACAUUGAGAAGAUCCAUAUCCAGAGGCUGAAAACAUGAAAGAGCAAUGGUGAAAUCUUGUUAUUAACUUUAUUCUAUUAGGUUUAAUAUGGAGGGAAACAUCAAGAUUUCUUAUCAAAAACCAACCUUAUUCCCACAACCACUCCAAAUUCCUUUUCCAAUGCUCUUUUUAUGUAUUUUUGGAAGUCAAAGUUGCUUCCCUCUGCAAAAUGGGCCUGACAUUUCAAAAGGCAAAUAGGAAUUAGAAAAAAAAAAUUAUUCAGUUGUGUUUUCGAUAACCGAACCGAACUAACCGAGUUAGUUCGGUUUCGAUUAGUUCGGUUAGUUAUUUACUUAAGUUCGGUUGCGGUUAGCUUUAUACAAGAGUUCGGUUAGUUCGGUUACUAGAUAUCCAAUAACCGAAUUAACAGAACUACCCGUUUGCACAGCCCUAAUGGUGAUUGCAAUUACUAAUUUAUAUUUUCCAUCCCGAUGUGCAUAGUGUUUGAUUCCCGUAAUGUGUAAGGUAAGGUUAAAUAAAAGUUCUCAAUAGACCCAUAACAUGU